GAAAGAUGAAAAGAACUUUGAAAAGAGAGUUAAACAGUACGUGAAAUUGUUGAAAGGGAAACGAUUGAAGCCAGUCGUACCUUCGGGUAAUCAGCCUUUCGGGUGCGAUUCUGUGGAGUUUGAGGAGCUUAACACCUUCAUGCUUUGCAUAUUCGUGCUCUUGGGUGUACUUGCCCGUGUGGUUGGUUAACAUCAAUUUCGGGCACCAUAAAAUGGCUGGAGGAAUGUAGCUUCGAUCUUGUAUUGAAGUGUUAUA
RNAcentral lists this ribosomal RNA (256 nucleotides) under uncultured Rhizophagus. Its description in RNAcentral is "partial large subunit ribosomal RNA". It matches the Rfam family "Eukaryotic large subunit ribosomal RNA", at positions 359 to 630 of the family's 3401-position model. The record is from RNAcentral. Lineage: Eukaryota; Fungi; Glomeromycota; Glomeromycetes; Glomerales; Glomeraceae.